This 483-nucleotide ribosomal RNA is filed under the name uncultured bacterium. RNAcentral's name for it is "bacterial SSU rRNA". It matches the Rfam family "Bacterial small subunit ribosomal RNA", at positions 30 to 507 of the family's 1533-position model. The record is from RNAcentral.
AUUGAACGCUGGCGGCAUGCCUUACACAUGCAAGUCGAACGGCACGCGGACCUUCGGGUGCCGGGCGAGUGGCGAACGGGUGAGUAAUAUAUCGGAACGUACCUUCAGUGGGGGAUAACGUAGCGAAAGUUACGCUAAUACCGCAUAUUCUGUGAGCAGGAAAGCAGGGGAUCGCAAGACCUUGCGCUGAUUGAGCGGCCGAUAUCAGAUUAGCUAGUUGGUGAGGUAAAGGCUCACCAAGGCGACGAUCUGUAGCGGGUCUGAGAGGAUGAUCCGCCACACUGGAACUGAGACACGGUCCAGACUCCUACGGGAGGCAGCAGUGGGGAAUUUUGGACAAUGGGCGCAAGCCUGAUCCAGCCAUGCCGCGUGAGUGAAGAAGGCCUUCGGGUUGUAAAGCUCUUUCGGCCGGGAAGAAAUCGCACAGGUUAAUACCCUGUGUGGAUGACGGUACCGGAAUAAGAAGCACCGGCUAACUACGUG